GGUGAGUGUGUGGCGGCUGGCGCGGUAAUACGGUGGGGGCGAGGGUUGUCCGGAUGGAGUGGGCGUAAAUGGCUUGUAGGCGGUGUGUCGCGUCUGCUGUGAAAGCCCUGGGCUUAACUCCGUGUCUGCAGUGGGUACGGGCAGAAUAGAGUGUGGUAGGGGAGACUGGAAUUCCUGGUGUAGCGGUGAAAUGCGCAGAUAUCAGGAGGAACACCGAUGGCGAAGGCAGGUCUCUGGGCCAUUACUGACGCUGAGAAGCGAAAGCAUGGGGAGCGAACAGGAUUAGAUACCCCAGUAGUC
RNAcentral lists this ribosomal RNA (300 nucleotides) under uncultured Halogeometricum sp. Its description in RNAcentral is "bacterial SSU rRNA". It matches the Rfam family "Bacterial small subunit ribosomal RNA", at positions 496 to 795 of the family's 1533-position model. The record is from RNAcentral. Lineage: Archaea; Methanobacteriati; Methanobacteriota; Halobacteria; Halobacteriales; Haloferacaceae.